RNAcentral lists this ribosomal RNA (345 nucleotides) under Haloarcula sp. EngPdB5. RNAcentral describes it as "bacterial SSU rRNA". It matches the Rfam family "Archaeal small subunit ribosomal RNA", at positions 385 to 730 of the family's 1478-position model. The record is from RNAcentral. Lineage: Archaea; Methanobacteriati; Methanobacteriota; Halobacteria; Halobacteriales; Haloarculaceae.
UGCGAGGGCAUAUAGCCCUCGCUUUUCUGUACCGUAAGGUGGUACAGGAACAAGGACUGGGCAAGACCGGUGCCAGCCGCCGCGGUAAUACCGGCAGCCCAAGUGAUGGCCGAUAUUAUUGGGCCUAAAGCGUCCGUAGCCGGCCGGACAAGUCCGUUGGGAAAUCGACGCGCUCAACGCGUCGGCGUCCAGCGGAAACUGUCCGGCUUGGGGCCGGAAGACCUGAGGGGUACGUCCGGGGUAGGAGUGAAAUCCUGUAAUCCUGGACGGACCACCAAUGGGGAAACCACCUCAGGAAGACGGACCCGACGGUGAGGGACGAAAGCUAGGGUCUCGAACCGGAUU